CUAGCAUAUCAAUAAGCGGAGGAAAAGAAACUAACAAGGAUUCCCCUAGUAACUGCGAGUGAAGCGGGAAAAGCUCAAAUUUAAAAUCUGGCGGUCUCUGGCCGUCCGAGUUGUAAUCUAGAGAAGUAAUGCCCGUGCUGGACCGUGUAUAAGUCUCCUGGGAUGGGGCGUCAUAGAGGGUGAGAAUCCCGUCUUUGACACGGACUACCAGUGCAUUGUGGUAUGCUCUCAAAGAGUCGAGUUGUUUGGGAAUGCAGCUCAAAAUGGGUGGUAAAUUCCAUCUAAAGCUAAAUAUUGGCGAGAGACCGAUAGCGAACAAGUACCGUGAGGGAAAGAUGAAAAGAACUUUGGAAAGAGAGUUAAACAGUACGUGAAAUUGCUGAAAGGGAAACGCUUGAAGUCAGUCGCGUUGGCCGGGAAUCAGCCUUGCUUUUGCUUGGUGUACUUUCUGGUUUGACGGGUCAGCAUCAAUUUUGACCGCUGGAAAAGGACCUGGGGAAUGUGGCAGCUUCGGCUGUGUUAUAGCCCCUAGUCGCAUACAGUGGUUGGGAUUGAGGAACUCAGCACGCCGCAAGGCCGGGUUUCGACCACGUUCGUGCUUAGGAUGCUGGCAUAAUGGCUUUAAGCGACCCGUCUUGAAACACGGACCAAGGAGUCUAACAUGCCUGCGAGUAUUUGGGUGGAAAACUCAAGUGCGUAAUGAAAGUGAAAGUUGAGAUCCCUGUCGUGGGGAGCAUCGACGCCCGGACCAGAACUUUUGGGACGGAUCCGCGGUGGAGCAUGUAUGUUGGGACCCGAAAGAUGGUGAACUAUGCCUGAAUAGGGUGAAGCCAGAGGAAACUCUGGUGGAGGCUCGUAGCGAUUCUGACGUGCAAAUCGAUCGUCAAAUUUGGGUAUAGGGGCGAAAGACUAAUCGAACCAUCAUCUAA
This 929-nucleotide ribosomal RNA is filed under the name Agaricus sp. RNAcentral describes it as "LSU rRNA". It matches the Rfam family "Eukaryotic large subunit ribosomal RNA", at positions 34 to 950 of the family's 3401-position model. Lineage: Eukaryota; Fungi; Basidiomycota; Agaricomycetes; Agaricales; Agaricaceae. The record is from RNAcentral.